This 406-nucleotide ribosomal RNA is filed under the name uncultured bacterium. RNAcentral's name for it is "partial 16S ribosomal RNA". It matches the Rfam family "Bacterial small subunit ribosomal RNA", at positions 30 to 526 of the family's 1533-position model. The record is from RNAcentral.
AUUGAACGCUGGCGGGAUGCUUAACACAUGCAAGUCGAACGAGUGGCGGACGGGUGAGUAAUAUCUAGGAAACUGCCCGGUGGAGGGGGAUAACUACUGGAAACAGUGGCUAAUACCGCAUACCAUCGGAGCGGCCGAUAUCGGAUUAGCUGGUUGGUGGGGUAACGGCUCACCAAGGCGACGAUCCCUAGCUGGUUUGAGAGGAAGACCAGCCACACUGGGACUGAGACACGGCCCAGACGCCUACGGGAGGCAGCAGUGGGGAAUUUUGCACAAUGGGCGAAAGCCUGAUGCAGCCAUGCCGCGUGUAUGAUGAAGGCCUUCGGGUUGUAAAGUACUUUUGGCAGGGAAGCGGUAUCCGCAGAAGAAGCACCGGCUAACUACGUGCCAGCCGCCGCGGUAAUAC